Molecule: ribosomal RNA, 500 nt
Filed under: uncultured bacterium
Lineage: Bacteria
Description: partial 16S ribosomal RNA
Rfam family: Bacterial small subunit ribosomal RNA
Source: RNAcentral
AUUGAACGCUGGCGGAAUGCUUUACACAUGCAAGUCGAACGGCAGCACGGACUUCGGUCUGGUGGCGAGUGGCGAACGGGUGAGUAAUGUAUCGGAACGUGCCCAGUCGUGGGGGAUAACGUAGUGAAAAUUACGCUAAUACCGCAUACGAUCUAUGGAUGAAAGCGGGGGAUCGCAAGACCUCGCGCGCUUGGAGCGGCCGAUAUCAGAUUAGGGAGUUGGUGGGGUAAAGGCCCACCAAGCCAACGAUCUGUAGCUGGUCGGAGAGGACGACCAGCCACACUGGAACUGAGACACGGUCCAGACUCCUACGGGAGGCAGCAGUGGGGAAUUUUGGACAAUGGGCGAAAGCCUGAUCCAGCCAUUCCGCGUGCAGGAUGAAGGCCCUCGGGUUGUAAACUGCUUUUGUACAGAACGAAAAGGUUUCUACUAAUACUAGGAGCUCAUGACGGUACUGUAAGAAUAAGCACCGGCUAACUACGUGCCAGCCGCCGCCGUAA